UGGCUCAGGAUGAACGCUGGCGGCGUGCCUAACACAUGCAAGUCGAACGAAGCGGAUUUGAUGAAGUUUUCGGAUGAAUUCAAAUCUGACUGAGUGGCGGACGGGUGAGUAACGCGUGGGUAACCUGCCUCAUACAGGGGGAUAACAGUUAGAAAUGACUGCUAAUACCGCAUAAGCGCACAGUACUGCAUGGUACAGUGUGAAAAACUCCGGUGGUAUGAGAUGGACCUGCGUCUGAUUAGCUGGUUGGUGAGGUAACGGCCCACCAAGACGACGAUCAGUAGCCGACCUGAGAGGGUGACCGGCCACAUUGGGACUGAGACACGGCCCAAACUCCUACGGGAGGCAGCAGUGGGGAAUAUUGCACAAUGGGGGAAACCCUGAUGCAGCGACGCCGCGUGAGUGAAGAAGUAUUUCGGUAUGUAAAGCUCUAUCAGCAGGGAAGAAACUGACGGUACCUGACUAAGAAGCCCCGGCUAACUACGUGCCAGCAGCCGCGGUAAUACGUAGGGGGCAAGCGUUAUCCGGAUUUACUGGGUGUAAAGGGAGCGUAGACG
Molecule: ribosomal RNA, 557 nt
Filed under: uncultured Planococcus sp.
Lineage: Bacteria; Bacillati; Bacillota; Bacilli; Caryophanales; Caryophanaceae
Description: bacterial SSU rRNA
Rfam family: Bacterial small subunit ribosomal RNA
Source: RNAcentral